GGGGAUGUAGCUCAGUUGGUAGAGUGCUUGCCUCACAUGCACAAGGUCCUGGGUUCAAUCCCCAGCACCACA
Molecule: transfer RNA, 72 nt
Filed under: Marmota monax (woodchuck)
Lineage: Eukaryota; Metazoa; Chordata; Mammalia; Rodentia; Sciuridae
Description: tRNA.Val
Rfam family: tRNA
About the family: Transfer RNA (tRNA) molecules are approximately 80 nucleotides in length. Their secondary structure includes four short double-helical elements and three loops (D, anti-codon, and T loops).
Source: RNAcentral